RNAcentral lists this transfer RNA (64 nucleotides) under Cavia porcellus (domestic guinea pig). It matches the Rfam family "tRNA", at positions 1 to 62 of the family's 71-position model. Rfam says of the family: Transfer RNA (tRNA) molecules are approximately 80 nucleotides in length. Their secondary structure includes four short double-helical elements and three loops (D, anti-codon, and T loops). Further hydrogen bonds mediate the characteristic L-shaped molecular structure. tRNAs have two regions of fundamental functional importance: the anti-codon, which is responsible for specific mRNA codon recognition, and the 3' end, to which the tRNAs corresponding amino acid is attached (by aminoacyl-tRNA synthetases). tRNAs cope with the degeneracy of the genetic code in two manners: having more than one tRNA (with a specific anti-codon) for a particular amino acid; and 'wobble' base-pairing, i.e. permitting non-standard base-pairing at the 3rd anti-codon position. The record is from Rfam by way of RNAcentral. Lineage: Eukaryota; Metazoa; Chordata; Mammalia; Rodentia; Caviidae.
GGGGAUUUAGCUCAGCGGCAUAAGCGCCUGCCUUGCAAGCAGGCAGUCAUAAGUUCGAUCCCCA